ACGCUCGACACCUACGGGGGCAGCAGUUGGGAAUAUUGGACAAUGGAGGAAACUCUGAUCCAGUGACGCCGCGUGAAGGAAGAAGGUCUUCGGAUUGUAAACUUAUUUUGUCAGGGAAGAAAAAAUGACUGUACCUGAAGAAAAAGCACCGGCUAACUACGUGGCAGCAGCCGCGGUAAUCUGAGCGGGCUGGCAAGGC
RNAcentral lists this ribosomal RNA (199 nucleotides) under uncultured bacterium. RNAcentral's name for it is "partial 16S ribosomal RNA". It matches the Rfam family "Bacterial small subunit ribosomal RNA", at positions 328 to 539 of the family's 1533-position model. The record is from RNAcentral.